This 253-nucleotide ribosomal RNA is filed under the name uncultured bacterium. RNAcentral describes it as "partial 16S ribosomal RNA". It matches the Rfam family "Bacterial small subunit ribosomal RNA", at positions 524 to 776 of the family's 1533-position model. The record is from RNAcentral.
UACGUAGGGGACAAGCGUUGUCCGGAUUUACUGGGCGUAAAGAGCGCGCAGGCGGUCGUGCAAGUCGGGUGUGAAAGCCCCCGGCUCAACUGGGGAGGGUCACUCGAUACUGAUCGACUCGAAGGCAGGAGAGGGUAGUGGAAUUCCCGGUGUAGUGGUGAAAUUCGUAGAUAUUCGGAAGAACACCAGUGGCGAAGGCGACUUACUGGACACAUAUUGACGCUGAGGUGCGAAAGCGUGGGGAGCAAACAGG